GUGAAUCAUCAAAUUUUUGAACGCAAAUUGCACUCUCUGGUAUUCCGGAGAGUAUGCCUGUUUGAGGGUCAGUUUAAAUAAAAAUCGGUGUGGGUGCUGCCUUUCGUGGCGACGUACCGCAUUUGGGUCGUCUUGCCUUCGGUUAAGUGACCUAAAAUUUUGCAUGAUUUUUUCGAACGUAUUUAAAUGAUUUUACGUACGUUUGCGAUAUUGAAUACUAGGUGUGGUCCUUCUCUUGAUUCUCGCCUCUAAUC
Molecule: unclassified non-coding RNA, 254 nt
Filed under: Glomus sp.
Lineage: Eukaryota; Fungi; Glomeromycota; Glomeromycetes; Glomerales; Glomeraceae
Description: partial contains 5.8S ribosomal RNA and internal transcribed spacer 2
Rfam family: 5.8S ribosomal RNA (bases 1-71)
Source: RNAcentral